RNAcentral lists this ribosomal RNA (407 nucleotides) under uncultured bacterium. Its description in RNAcentral is "bacterial SSU rRNA". It matches the Rfam family "Bacterial small subunit ribosomal RNA", at positions 354 to 775 of the family's 1533-position model. The record is from RNAcentral.
AUUAGGAAUCUUGUGCAAUGGGGGCAACCCUGACACAGCGACGCCGCGUGGAGGAUGACGGCCUUCGGGUUGUAAACUCCUUUUGAUGAGGAAGAAACAAAUGACGGUACUCGUCGAAUAAGCCCCGGCUAACUCCGUGCCAGCAGCCGCGGUAAUACGGAGGGGGCGAGCGUUGUCCGAAGUUACUGGGCGUAAAGAGCGCGUAGGCGGGAAGUCACGUCCGCUGUGAAAGCCUGACGCUUAACGUCAGCGGGUCGGUGGAUACGGACUUUCUUGAAGGCAUUAGGGGAAGAUGGAAUUACCCAUGGAGCGGUGAAAUGCGUAGAGAUGGGUAGGAACACCGGUGGCGAAGGCGGUCUUCUGGGAUGUCCUUGACGCUGAGGCGCGAAAGCUGGGGGAGCGAACGG